GGGGGUGAACGGUCUCGACGGGGGUCGCCGAGGGCAGGGUUGCGCGCCGAGGUGCGGGUGGCCUCGUAGGUACGCCCAAAAGGGCGUGACCGUAAAAACCCGCAACGGCAUAACUGCCAACACUGGCUACGCUCUCGCGGCCUAAGGACCGCGACCCCGCCCGGUAGCCCAGCCGGGGGCUCACCGGAAGCGGGGACACAAACCCGGCUAGCCCGGGGCCACGCCCUCUAACCUCGGGCGAAGCCUAAAGAGGGCUCGCUCCUGGCCGCCUGCCUCCGGGCAAAGCCAGGAGGACUUCCCAAACGGAGGCUACGCGCGUAGAGGCCCGCCGUAGGGACCUUCGGACGGGGGUUCAACUCCCCCCACCUCCACCA
RNAcentral lists this transfer-messenger RNA (374 nucleotides) under Thermus islandicus. It matches the Rfam family "transfer-messenger RNA". Rfam says of the family: Bacterial tmRNA, also known as 10Sa RNA or SsrA, is named for its dual tRNA and mRNA-like properties. Its role is to liberate the mRNA from a stalled ribosome. To accomplish this part of the tmRNA is used as a reading frame that ends in a translation stop signal. Lineage: Bacteria; Thermotogati; Deinococcota; Deinococci; Thermales; Thermaceae. The record is from RNAcentral.